GACGAACCGUGCGAACGUUAUUCGGAAUCACUGGGCUUAAAGCGCGUGUAGGCGGGAGGGCACGUCCGUCGCUGAAAUCCCCCGGCUCAACCGGGGAACGGGCACGGAUACGACCUUCCUGGAGGGGCGCAGGGGGACCUGGAACUUCCGGUGGAGCGGUGAAAUGCGUUGAGAUCGGAAGGAACGCCCGUGGCGAAAGCGAGGUCCUGGACGCCUACUGACGCUGAGACGCGAAAGCCAGGGGAGCGAACGGG
This 254-nucleotide ribosomal RNA is filed under the name uncultured bacterium. Its description in RNAcentral is "partial 16S ribosomal RNA". It matches the Rfam family "Bacterial small subunit ribosomal RNA", at positions 524 to 776 of the family's 1533-position model. The record is from RNAcentral.